UGGGGAAUAUUGGACAAUGGGGGCAACCCUGAUCCAGCCAUGCCGCGUGAGUGAUGAAGGCCUUCGGGUUGUAAAGCUCUUUUGGCGGGGACGAUGAUGACGGUACCCGCAGAAUAAGCCCCGGCUAACUUCGUGCCAGCAGCCGCGGUAAGACGAAGGGGGCUAGCGUUGUUCGGAAUUACUGGGCGUAAAGCGAGUGUAGGCGGUUGCCGUAGUCAGGUGUGAAAGCCUUGAGCUCAACUCAAGAAAUGCACUUGAUACUGGGCGACUAGAGGACCGGAGAGGAUAGUGGAAUUCCCAGUGUAGUGGUGAAAUACGUAGAGAUUGGGAAGAACACCAGUGGCGAAGGCGGCUAUCUGGACGGUUACUGACGCUAAGACUCGAAAGCGUGGGGAGCAAACAGGAUUAGAUACCCCUGGUAGUCCACGCCGUAAACGAUGGGUGCUAGACGUUGGCGAGCUUGCUCGUCAGUGUCGCAGCUAACGCGUUAAGCACCCCC
Molecule: ribosomal RNA, 499 nt
Filed under: uncultured bacterium
Lineage: Bacteria
Description: partial 16S ribosomal RNA
Rfam family: Bacterial small subunit ribosomal RNA
Source: RNAcentral